RNAcentral lists this small RNA (219 nucleotides) under Streptomyces malaysiense. RNAcentral's name for it is "c-di-AMP sequence". It matches the Rfam family "c-di-AMP riboswitch aptamer (ydaO/yuaA leader)". From Rfam's summary of the family: This family represents a conserved RNA structure found upstream of the ydaO and yuaA genes in Bacillus subtilis and related genes in other bacteria. The ydaO/yuaA element is thought to act as a genetic "off" switch for the ydaO and yuaA genes in its native state. Lineage: Bacteria; Bacillati; Actinomycetota; Actinomycetes; Kitasatosporales; Streptomycetaceae. The record is from Rfam by way of RNAcentral.
AUACACCCAUCGACGAACUCAUUCGUACGGCAGGAGCGGGGGACCCAGGUAAGUCGCCGGACCGGACGACUCACGUGGCGCAGCGCGUGACACAGCGCGCCGCACCGCGUGUUCGCACCGGGACGGCUUGGGGUAAAGCCGUGCCUCUCACGGGGCGCGACCGGGCACCUCCCCGCCCGAACCCGACAGCUCACCUCGCAGGCGUAGGAGAGGAACGUC